This is a small nuclear RNA of Schistocerca serialis cubense, 107 nucleotides long. The record is from RefSeq and is a predicted model, not a curated record. NCBI's taxonomy places the organism in Eukaryota, Metazoa, Arthropoda, Insecta, Orthoptera, Acrididae.
GCACUCGCUUGGGUGGUACAUAUCCUCAAACUGGAAUGAUAUAGAGGAGAGUAGCGUGGCUGCAGGGAAAGCGUGACACGCAAAAUUAUAAAGCGUGGCACAUUUUU